GAAAAUGAUUGUAUCGUUGUCUGCUAAAAAUAAAAUUGGCUUUGUUGAUGGUACAUGUCCCAGACUAGACACUAAUGUGGCUGAACAAAAGUUAUGGGAUAGAUGUAAUAAUAUGGUGAUAUCCUAUUUGACUGCUUCCUUAUCACCUCAAAUAGCUAAAAGUGUGCAGUAUUCUGAUACUGCACAUAGCAUAUGGGCACAGCUCGCAGCUAGAUAUAGUACUGCUAACCGAACC
RNAcentral lists this long non-coding RNA (235 nucleotides) under Nicotiana benthamiana. RNAcentral describes it as "long non-coding RNA (NBEN_LNC016764)". Lineage: Eukaryota; Viridiplantae; Streptophyta; Magnoliopsida; Solanales; Solanaceae. The record is from RNAcentral.